UACGUAGGGUGCGAGCGUUAAUCGGAAUUACUGGGCGUAAAGCGUGCGCAGGCGGUUUUGUAAGCCAGAUGUGAAAGCCCCGGGCUUAACCUGGGAAUGGCAUUUGGGACUGCAAGGCUUGAGUGCGGCAGAGGAGACUGGAAUUCCUGGUGUAGCAGUGAAAUGCGUAGAUAUCAGGAGGAAUACCGGUGGCGAAGGCGGCAUCCUGGACCGAGAUUGACACUGAGGAGCGAAAGCCAGGGGAGCAAACGGG
RNAcentral lists this ribosomal RNA (253 nucleotides) under uncultured bacterium. RNAcentral's name for it is "partial 16S ribosomal RNA". It matches the Rfam family "Bacterial small subunit ribosomal RNA", at positions 524 to 776 of the family's 1533-position model. The record is from RNAcentral.